This 407-nucleotide ribosomal RNA is filed under the name uncultured bacterium. Its description in RNAcentral is "partial 16S ribosomal RNA". It matches the Rfam family "Bacterial small subunit ribosomal RNA", at positions 28 to 526 of the family's 1533-position model. The record is from RNAcentral.
GAUGAACGCUAGCUACAGGCUUAACACAUGCAAGUCGAGGGACCGGCGCACGGGUGAGUAACGCGUAUCCAACCUUCCCAUGACUAUGAGAUAACCUGCCGAAAGGCAGACUAAUACUUUAUGGUUAUGGGUGGGGAUGCGUCUGAUUAGUUAGUUGGCGGGGUAACGGCCCAACAAAGCAACGACCAGUAGGGGUUCUGAGAGGAAGGUCACCCACAAUGGAACUGGGACACAGUCCAAACUCCUACGAGAGGCAGCAGUGGGGAAUAUUGGUCGAUGAGCGAGAGGAUGAACCAGCCAAGUAGCGUGCAGAAUGACGGCCUAUGGGUUGUAAACUGCUUGUGUAUGGGGAUAGGGACCAUACGAAUAAGGACCGGCUAAUUCCGUGCCAGCAGCCGCGGUAAUUC